AGUGAACGCUGGCGGUAGGCCUAACACAUGCAAGUCGAACGGCAGCACAGUAAGAGCUUGCUCUUACGGGUGGCGAGUGGCGGACGGGUGAGGAAUACAUCGGAAUCUACUUUUUCGUGGGGGAUAACGUAGGGAAACUUACGCUAAUACCGCAUACGACCUACGGGUGAAAGCAGGGGAUCUUCGGACCUUGCGCGAUUGAAUGAGCCGAUGUCGGAUUAGCUAGUUGGCGGGGUAAAGGCCCACCAAGGCGACGAUCCGUAGCUGGUCUGAGAGGAUGAUCAGCCACACUGGAACUGAGACCCGGUCCAGACUCCUACGGGAGGCAGCAGUGGGGCAUAUUGGACCAUGGGCGCAAGCCUGAUCCAGCCAUACCGCGUGGGUGAAGAAGGCCUUCGGGUUGUAAAGCCCUUUUGUUGGGAAAGAAAAGCAGCAGGUUAAUACCCCGCUGUUCUGACGGUACCCAAAGAAUACGCACCGGCUAACUUCG
Molecule: ribosomal RNA, 490 nt
Filed under: uncultured bacterium
Lineage: Bacteria
Description: partial 16S ribosomal RNA
Rfam family: Bacterial small subunit ribosomal RNA
Source: RNAcentral